Echinops telfairi (small Madagascar hedgehog) is the source of this 2217-nucleotide long non-coding RNA. RefSeq lists it as uncharacterized. NCBI's taxonomy places the organism in Eukaryota, Metazoa, Chordata, Mammalia, Afrosoricida, Tenrecidae. The transcript has 5 exons. The record is from RefSeq and is a predicted model, not a curated record.
CCCUGCAGAAGCGGGGAUCCAGUGCAGAGAAGCUGAGGAUGAGUGUAGAGAAACAAGGAUCCAGUACAGAGAAACGAGCUAGUAUAGAGAAGUGGGGAUCCAGUGCAGAGAAGCUGGGGGUGAGUACAGAGAAGCGGGGGUCCAGUGCAGAGAAGCUGGGGGUGAGUACAGAGAAGCGGGGGUCCAGUGCAGAGAUUCUGGCGAUGAGUACAGAGAAGCGGGGAUCCAGUGCAGAGAAGCUGGGGGUGAGUACAGAGAAGCGGGGAUCCAGUGCAGAGACGCUGGAGGUUAGUGGAGAAAGGGCUUUCAAGGGAGAGAGGCAGGGGUCCAGAGGAGAGGGAUCACGAUCGAGUGCAGAGAAGCGGAGGACCAGUGGAGACGAUUUGAUUUCCACUGGAGAUACAGUGGGUACCAGUCGGGAGAAGCUGAGGACCAGCUGGGAGAAGCUGGUGAUCAACAGUGAGACGUUGGAAACCAGUGAUAAGAAGCUGGGCACCAGUGAGGAGAAGUUGGAGGACAUAAGUGAGACUGUGGAAAGAGUGACUGAGUUGACCGGGAAUGAUCCCAUGGAAGAAAUCUCUUCAGACCAUGUGGAGGGAAGUGCUGAGGACCCAGAAGGGACUGCAGAAGAUGUGGACGUUGACGGGGUCAUCUUGCUUGAUGUGACGGAUAUUGCUGAUGAGUUGGUUUCUCGGGAGGAGAAGAACGCUCCAGGUCACAGUACCUAUAAUGAGACAGAGGACAGAAGUUGAAAGAGUAGCGGCUGCAGAAGGAAAUAUUACACCAAGAACGGCUUACGGCUGGGGGGGAAGGGGGGAGGGAGAGGGACUGAAAAGAAAGGAGAGACUGAGCCUAAGACAGAAGGGUGGCAAUAAAUUUAAAAAGAGCUCCUGGGGAUGAAGGUGGAGAGGGGGGUCGAGGAAAGCAAAGAAGGAUGGGUGCAUUUUGAGAAUGGAAAUGUGGGCUGACAAGGUUGAUCGAGGAAGAGUGGCUCCCGGUUUCUUGGUGAAGGGCGAUUGAAGAUCUGGGAAAAUGUGUGGAGGAAUGGGUUUUGGCUGCUCUGGAAGGAUUUAAACACAAGACUGGGUCCAUGAAACCUGGUUCCGGAGGAGAACGGAGACCUGAGCAGGAUGUCAGAAAGGCGUGGAUUGCAGAAGGAGACAAGCUGACAGGAGCCAACCAAGCAGGGUUCUGGCUGAGGGUGUGUGUUGAGGUCCCUGCAGAAGAAUGUGGGGUGCCAGUAACAAGAGGAGGAGGAGACCCAAGAAAGGUUCCCGAAGACAAACAGGCCCAAGCCCAUGAUGGCUUGAAUUCAAGAUGGACCAGCUCUGUCCCUCGGUUUUUGAAGACCUGCUCCUUCGUGGCCUCCCUGCGGCCUAGCCCUCAGGGCGUCCAGAUCCUCUGUUAGGAUUGAGCUGGUGUCCUGACCUGGCCUUCUGGAGUAAUUGAAGCGGCCAACCUGAGCCAGCACGCCCUCCCUCUGGGCACCGGCCCUGCAGCCCCGUGAGAGAACCAGUCUUCAUUCGCUCUCCCGCAGAGAGCCACCAAGUGCAGGCAGCCUGGCCGCCUCCACCCUGCGAACCGCUCGACCAGCCCGCCUCCUGCCUGCAAUGCAAGCUCUUCUUCCGUGCACCCGAGGUCACCACCACCCCGCCCGCCCCUGCUCUCCCCCUUUGGCUCUGAAAGCCCAGGGGUCCGUGGCUUCUCUCCAUUUCCGGGCCAGAACUGACCGAGCAGACUGGGCCCUGUCGCAGAGGUGGUGCGUGGACGCCAGUUGCACCGUGUCGUGCUCUGCAGACACCAGUCGACCUGGGGCUGGGUGCCCGCUUCCUCCUGUGAGGUCAGCCGCACUCCACCCAGGUCACGGAGAUAACCGGGACGCAGAGACCGGAACAAAGGACAGCGUCUGUGUGCCUCGGUUUGGUCCCUGCCCUGCAUGGCACGUUUGAACCCGUGUCUGGCCCUGGCCUCGUGACUGCGAACGUUGGCGACAGAAGAGACCGCCCACGCCCAGCUCUGCCUGCCACGUGGGUCUUUCCGCUUCCUGCGGCGGGAAACGAGAGAAGCAGUGUGCCCCCCAUGCGUGAGCGCCGCAGGGAGGAGGGUCACAGGCAGGUAGGACAGAGGCAGGCUGUCACCAGCUGUGAGCAGGACAAGUGACAAGGAACUAGAACACGGGCCACAGAAAGUGACAGAAGUAAAGGCCGCUCCGAACAA